AAUCCAUGGUGUGGACACCUCCUUUGUAACUCUUUAUAUCGAACCCAAGCCUCAUAUAAGGUGUUUCUCUCUUCUUGAUGAAAUUGAAGGAUUGCAUUUUGGAGUUU
Molecule: small nucleolar RNA, 107 nt
Organism: Amaranthus tricolor (Joseph's coat)
Lineage: Eukaryota; Viridiplantae; Streptophyta; Magnoliopsida; Caryophyllales; Amaranthaceae
Source: RefSeq, a predicted model, not a curated record